This 348-nucleotide ribosomal RNA is filed under the name uncultured bacterium. RNAcentral describes it as "bacterial SSU rRNA". It matches the Rfam family "Bacterial small subunit ribosomal RNA", at positions 917 to 1288 of the family's 1533-position model. The record is from RNAcentral.
GGGCCCGCACAAGCGGUGGAGUAUGUGGUUUAAUUCGAUGCAACGCGAAGAACCUUACCAGGGUUUGACAUCCUGCGAAUCUCUUGGAAACAGGAGAGUGCCUUCGGGAACGCAGUGACAGGUGGUGCAUGGCUGUCGUCAGCUCGUGUCGUGAGAUGUUGGGUUAAGUCCCGCAACGAGCGCAACCCACGUCUUUAGUUGCCAGCAUUUAGUUGGGCACUCUAGAGAGACUGCCGGUGAUAAACCGGAGGAAGGUGUGGAUGACGUCAAGUCAUCAUGCCCCUUACGGGUUGGGCUACACACGUGCUACAAUGGCAUCUACAGUGGGUUAAUCCCCAAAAGAUGUCU